Long non-coding RNA from Homo sapiens (human), 1611 nucleotides. Ensembl annotates it as NCK1 divergent transcript. Its record names the gene NCK1-DT. The record is from Ensembl. Lineage: Eukaryota; Metazoa; Chordata; Mammalia; Primates; Hominidae.
CAGUUCUUUAUAAUAAAUCCCCUACUGGUUCUGUGUUUCAAAUUAACUCCUAAUUCUGAUAUACGUUAGAAUUCUCUCCUUGCUUGUUGUCUUCUGCUAACUCUAAUAGGCCACCAAAAUUCUCUUGGUUGCAAGCAUCCAAAUGUAAGUUAUCUCAGGUAAAUUCUGGAGGGCCUCCUCAGUACACAAAUCCCUUAUGUGGGAGAGCCUUACAUUUUGGGACUUAGAGUCCACAGAUUUUUGCUGUUUGGUCUUCUUGCCUAGUAGGCAGCUCUCCUUGGCAGGAACUAACAGUAUUCACGUGGCCCCAGGAAACUAGGAAAUUUUAUUUAUUUAUUUAUUUAUUAUUUAUUUAUUUAUUUUUAGACAGUCUCACUCUGUCGCCCAGGCUAGAAUGUAGUGGCAUGAUCUUGGCUCACUGCAACCUCCACCUCCCAGGUUCAAGUGAUUCUCCUGCCUCAGCCUCCCUCAGCCUCCAGAGUAGCUGGGAUUACAGGCAUGCACCACCACGCCCAGCUAAUUUUUGUAUUUUUAGUAGAAAUGGGGUUUCACCAUGUUGGCUAGGUUUGUCUCAAACUCCUGACCUCAGGUGAUUCACUCGCCUUAGCGCAAAGUACUGGGAUUACAGGUGUGAGCCACCAUGCCCAGCCGGAAAUUUUAUUUUAGAGAUAAGAAAUUUAAGACUCAGAAAUUUUGAGUUCUGGCUUGGCCACCAACUAGAGUAAUAAUUAUUGUCUGUCUUAAGAGAAAGUGUUUUGGAUGAUAAUUUUGGGGAUCUUUUGACAUAACCGUCUUCACAAUCGGUUUGUCUUUUUAAUGAUUUCAUACUUACAGUGUUUUGAUAUCUCUCCCAAUGCAAGACCACUAUGUAGUUUAGCCACUGUAACUUUCUACAAUCUGCUCUAAGUCAUUCUGAUCAAAGUGCCAACUCAACUUUUCCUCCUUCCUCAGAGACGAGUGCUCUAAACCAGUAUCAUGGCUCCAGUUCCUCUGACAAGGAUUCACAUGGGGUUGCAAUUCUGACUGUGCUGGUGAUGCUGGUUCCAGGUCCCUCAGGAACCCCUCCCCCAGUCUGGUCUGCCCUUGAACUCUAUACUGGCCCCAGGGUAUCCCAGGAUUGUCAGAAAGGCCUGGCCAGGAUUCACCUGGGAGAGGGAUCAGCAUCUCUGCAAAGUUGUUGGAUUGAAAGAACUUUCAUUUUGAGCUACAUCAUUGAAGAGCUUUAAAUCUGAAAAUAAGAAAGACGUUGAACCCUAUUACUCACAUCUCUUUGUCAUUUGAAGCAGAUCCCGAACCACUCAAAAGGACAAAACAAGGAAAUAGCAAUGAAAUUGGAUUCAGUGAAUGGGGUAAGGGUAUUAAGUGUCUGAAAUAUAAGAGAUAAAAAAAUUAGUUUUUACCUUUUUUUCUAUUUUCUAAAUGUUUUGGUGGCUAGAAUAAGAUAUACUUUGAACUCAAGAGCAAUAAAUGUUAAUAUAUUAAAAGUAGCUUUAUGAAAUAUGGAAAGUAUCUUUAUUUCAAAAUACUUCAAAGUAAUCAUCUGAAUAUUUAUCAGAAAUAUUAAGACAACUUAUUAAAUCCUGUAUUAAAAUGAUUGCUUAUUACUUUUUG